AGACACACAGGUGAAGACGUUUUAAAGACAUAGUAAAGUGGGGAUAAAAUACGCUAAAAAGGGGAAGAAAUUCAAAAGGGGGGGGCACAAGACAUACAGGUGAAGAUAUCAAGUAUUGCAAACUAAGCUGCUUAUUUGGCCCACCAAAAUAAUAUAACUUCUUCUCCAUUCAUUCCCCUUUUGUGCCAGGAACAGAAUUCUUGACUUAAAAAAAAAACAUGCAAGUCAUUUGUUUUUAUUCGGCCUUAUGGCAAAUAGGUGUUAUGGAAUUAGGACGAAUUUCAGUUCGGGACAAAUGAAAAUUCACAAGUCUAAUAAUAUGUACCAUACCUUAUAGGUUUAACGCGUACUUUAUUCAAUAUGUAAAUUAUAAAGGUUCACCAGAUGGUGAUGUUACGUUAGUAAUAAUUAGUGGGACAUUUUCUUUAUAGAAUUGUGAUGUGACAGUUAGAGAAGAAAGCUAAGUGAAUGCAAAAUUAAUUUCAAGGUCAAGGACAAAAUAACUGAGCAGGAAACAACCUCUAAGUAAACUGUGUGUCAAGUUUAACUUCUUAAACUUGAAAUUCACCUUUGACUUCAAUUUUACUUCUUUCUUUCUGGUCGAGUAAACUUUAUAGUAAUGUUUGAAAACAUACAGCACUUAAUUGUGCAUAAUUACAGGUUAU
This is a non-coding RNA of Pelobates cultripes (western spadefoot toad), 665 nucleotides long. The record is from the annotation of a GenBank genome assembly. NCBI's taxonomy places the organism in Eukaryota, Metazoa, Chordata, Amphibia, Anura, Pelobatidae.